Molecule: long non-coding RNA, 771 nt
Organism: Aethalodelphis obliquidens (Pacific white-sided dolphin)
Lineage: Eukaryota; Metazoa; Chordata; Mammalia; Artiodactyla; Delphinidae
Exons: 3
Source: RefSeq, a predicted model, not a curated record
UGAAGACAUUGCACAGAAGAUACACAAAUGGCCCUUAAAUAUAUGAAAAGAUGCUCAGCUUCGCUUAUGAUAAAAGAAAUGCAAAUUAAAAUCGCUGGGAUAGCAUUUCUCACUCUUGGCAUAUAUGUAAAAGCUUGAACACAUUCUCUUGGUGACGUUUUGGGAAACAGGCAUGCUCUUGUAUUGCUGUGGGAGUGCAGGGUGGUACAGUCCUCUUGGAGGGGAGCUUGGCAUUAUCUGUGUGUGCAUUUACCCUCAACUUCACAGUCCCACUUCCAGUCAUUUACCCUGAGGAUAUACCUCCCCAGGUGCGAAACACCAGAUGCAUGGGGUUAUUCAUUGCAGCAUUAUUUGUGAUAUAAAAAUGGAAACAACCUAGAUGUCCACCCAGGAUGAGUGAACCAAGGUACAUCAACUUAACUUAGAACUGUACAGCUGCAAAAAUAAAAAAGGAAGAUUUCUAUGAACUGGUAAGAGUUAUUUCUAAGAUGUAUUAAGUGAAAAAAGAAAGUAUUGAUACAAAUUAAUAUGCAUACUAUGUGGUAGGAAAGAAUGGGUGCUUAUAUGAGGCCUGCUAGAGUAAACAAUGGGGAUAGAAAGUAGAAUUGUGGGUGCCGGGGGAGGGGGAUUAGUGUUUGAUAGGUAGAGUUUCAGUUGAGGAAGAUGAAGAAGUGCCAGAGAUGGAUAAUUGUGAUGGUUGUACAACAGUGUGAAUGUACUUAAUGCCACAGAGCUGUAUACUUAAAAAUGGUUAAAAAUGGUUAAGAUGGU